GGUUCCGUAGCUCAGUGGAUGAGAGCACACGGUUGCGAGCCGUGGGGUCGCAGGUUCGAGUCCUGCCGGGACCG
Hyalangium minutum is the source of this 74-nucleotide transfer RNA. It matches the Rfam family "tRNA". Rfam says of the family: Transfer RNA (tRNA) molecules are approximately 80 nucleotides in length. Their secondary structure includes four short double-helical elements and three loops (D, anti-codon, and T loops). The record is from Rfam. NCBI's taxonomy places the organism in Bacteria, Pseudomonadati, Myxococcota, Myxococcia, Myxococcales, Archangiaceae.